This 2444-nucleotide long non-coding RNA is filed under the name Mytilus galloprovincialis (Mediterranean mussel). The record is from RNAcentral. Lineage: Eukaryota; Metazoa; Mollusca; Bivalvia; Mytilida; Mytilidae.
AAAAAUAAUAAUAAUAAUUAAAAACCAAUCGUUCAGAGAACCAUUGAUGGUCUUUCCACCAGUUAAGACCUUUUUUUUAUAUGAAAAUAUAAAAAUUUGGUUUUAAAUGUCAAUUGUACCGUCAAAUGACAGCUUAUUGAACGCUAAUUCCAAAAAAUGUAUGGUUUCUAUGGAAAAAGAUAUAGAUAAGGGAGAUAAUUGUUUACUUCCGGUUCAAACGAUGUUAUUUCCGGUAUAGUUUGAUAGUUUAAGUGACACUGAUUCCAAAAAUAUAUGGUUCUAUAUACUUUUUCAUUAAUGAAGUACAAAAUAUAGCUACUUCCGGUUUACAAAAGGUCACUUCCGGUUGUCUUUUUCUAGAUCACAUUGCUUGCAACCUAAUUUAAAAAGUCCCAAGUCUUGAUCAUGUAUACAUAUGAGGUAAAAGCAAAGGUCAAAAUCUAGAACGUUACAUUUACCUAUGACCUUGAGCUCAAUUUCGAGGUCAUCAACCAAGGACCUCAAAUCAAAAGACUCUAGGCCUCUACUAUAUAUAGUUAAUGAGUUGUAUUACCUUACAACUAAUAUUAGAUAUAAAAGGGGGCAAAACUGGCAUCAAAUGUCUACGUACUCUUUCGACUAAAAUCUACGUGUUACCACAUGUCGCAACUAACAAUUUAGUAAAAAUAAUUUGUCGAUAAGUUAUACGGCUUUUGAAAAUGAGUGAAAAUAAGCCAAAAUCAAAAUUUAUAAUAUGACCUUGACCUUUGACCUUGACCUUAUUUUCAUUUUUUUGGACCAAGGACCUCAAAUCAAAAGACCCUAGGUCUCUAUCACUUAUGGUUUACCAGUUAGAAAUGCAAAUUCUUAUAUCAAACAUAAAAGGGGGGAUAACUCUCAUAUGGAAUCUAUAUACGGCUUCGGUCAAAAUAAAACAGAACAUCCUGAGGAUAUAACGAGCAAUUUGGAAAAAUAAAUUUGUCGGUUUCUUAUACGGUUGCGAAGCCUUAGAGAUAACAAGAAAAACAGUGUUCGGGGAGAUAACUCUUAUUUGGGAAAGUAUUCGGUUAAAACAGAGUUGGUUUCAAAAGCGUAUAAACUGUUCGAUAUCAUAUUCCAAAAAUCUAAGCGACAUCUUGCGAAACAAAAAAACAGCGAAGGAAAAAAAUUAGGCGGAAGAAAAAAAAAAAAUAAUAAUAAUAAUUAAAAACCAAUUGUUCAGAGAACCAUUGAUGGUCUUUCCACCAGUUAAGACCUUUUUUUAUAUGAAAAUAUUAAAAUUUGGUUUUAAAUGUCAAUUGUACCGUCAAAUGACAGCUUAUUGAACGCUUAUUCCAAAAAUGUAUGGUUUCUAUGGAAAAAGAUAUAGAUAAGGGAGAUAAUUGUUUACUUCCGGUUCAAACGAUGUUAUUUCCGGUAUAGUUUGAUAGUUUAAGUGACACUGAUUCCAAAAAUAUAUGGUUCUAUAUACUUUUUCAUUAAUGAAGUACAAAAUAUAGCUACUUCCGGUUUACAAAAGGUCACUUCCGGUUGUCUUUUUCUAGAUCACAUUGCUUGCAACCUAAUUUAAAAAGUCCCAAGUCUUGAUCAUGUAUACAUAUGAGGUAAAAGCAAAGGUCAAAAUCUAGAACGUUACAUUUACCUAUGACCUUGAGCUCAAUUUCGAGGUCAUCAACCAAGGACCUCAAAUCAAAAGACUCUAGGCCUCUACUAUAUAUAGUUAAUGAGUUGUAUUACCUUACAACUAAUAUUAGAUAUAAAAGGGGGCAAAACUGGCAUCAAAUGUCUACGUACUCUUUCGACUAAAAUCUACGUGUUACCACAUGUCGCAACUAACAAUUUAGUAAAAAAUAAUUUGUCGAUAAGUUAUACGGCUUUUGAAAAUGAGUGAAAAUAAGCCAAAAUCAAAAUUUAUAAUAUGACCUUGACCUUUGACCUUGACCUUAUUUUCAUUUUUUUGAACCAAGGACCUCAAAUCAAAAGACCCUAGGUCUCUAUCACUUAUGGUUUACCAGUUAGAAAUGCAAAUUCUUAUAUCAAACAUAAAAGGGGGGAUAACUCUCAUAUGGAAUCUAUAUACGGCUUCGGUCAAAAUAAAACAGAACAUCCUGAGGAUAUAACGAGCAAUUUGGAAAAAUAAAUUUGUCGGUUUCUUAUACGGUUGCGAAGCCUUAGAGAUAACAAGAAAAACAGUGUUCGGGGAGAUAACUCUUAUUUGGGAAAGUAUUCGGUUAAAACGAGUUGGUUUCAAAAGCGUAUAAACUGUUCGAUAUCAUAUUCCAAAAAUCUAAGCGACAUCUUGCGAAACAAAAAAACAGCGAAGGAAAAAAAUUAGGCGGAAGAAAAAAAAAAAAUAAUAAUCAGAAGAAAUCCAAUAGGUCUUUCCACGGAAAAGUGGAAAGACCUAAUAAUCAGAAGAAAUCCAAUAGGUCUUUCCACAGAAAAGUGGAAAGACCUAAUAUUAC